This 397-nucleotide ribosomal RNA is filed under the name uncultured bacterium. Its description in RNAcentral is "partial 16S ribosomal RNA". It matches the Rfam family "Bacterial small subunit ribosomal RNA", at positions 523 to 918 of the family's 1533-position model. The record is from RNAcentral.
AUACGUAGGGGGCAAGCGUUAUCCGGAUUUACUGGGUGUAAAGGGAGCGUAGACGGAAGGCCAAGUCUGAUGUGAAAGCCCGCGGCCCAACUGCGGGACUGCAUUGGAACCUGGUCAUAUGGAGUGCAGCAGGGGUAAGCGGAAUUCCCGGUGUAGCGGUGAAAUGCGUAGAGAUGGGGAGGAACACCAGGGGCGUAGGCGGGUAACUGGACUGCAACUGACGCUGAGGCGCGAAAGUGUGGGGAGCAAACAGGAUUAGAUACCCUGGUAGUCCACACUGUAAACGAUGAAUUCUAGGUGUAAGAGGUAUCGACCCCUUUUGUGCCGUAGUUAACACAAUAAGCAUUCCGCCUGGGGAGUACGGCCGCAAGGUUGAAACUCAAAGGAAUUGACGGGU